Molecule: ribosomal RNA, 253 nt
Filed under: uncultured bacterium
Lineage: Bacteria
Description: partial 16S ribosomal RNA
Rfam family: Bacterial small subunit ribosomal RNA
Source: RNAcentral
UACGUAGGGUGCGAGCGUUAUUCGGAAUUACUGGGCGUAAAGCGUGCGCAGGCGGUUUUGUAAGCCAGGUGUGAAAUCCCCGGGCUCAACCUGGGAAUGGCAUUUGGGACUGCAAGGCUGGAGUGUGGCAGAGGAGACUGGAAUUCCUGGUGUAGCAGUGAAAUGCGUAGAUAUCAGGAGGAAUACCGAUGGCGAAGGCAGGUCUCUGGGCUGACACUGACGCUCAUGCACGAAGGCGUGGGGAGCAAACAGG